This 335-nucleotide unclassified non-coding RNA is filed under the name soil metagenome. RNAcentral's name for it is "partial contains 5.8S ribosomal RNA, internal transcribed spacer 2, and large subunit ribosomal RNA". The stretch from base 5 to 119 matches the Rfam family "5.8S ribosomal RNA", at positions 40 to 154 of the family's 154-position model. The record is from RNAcentral.
GAUGAGAACGUAGCGAAAUGCGAUAAGUAAUGUGAAUUGCAGAAUUCAGUGAAUCAUCGAAUCUUUGAACGCACAUUGCGCCCGCCAGUAUUCUGGCGGGCAUGCCUGUUCGAGCGUCAUUUCAACCAUCAAGCCCCAGGCUUGUGUUGGGGACCUGCGGCUGCCGCAGGCCCUGAAAACCAGUGGCGGGCUCGCUGUCACACCGGGCGUAGUAGAUUUUAUCUCGCUCAGGGCGUGCUGCGGGUCCCGGCCGUUAAAAGCCUUUUUUUACCCAAGGUUGACCUCGGAUCAGGUAGGAAGACCCGCUGAACUUAAGCAUAUCAAUAAGCGGAGGA